AUUGAACGCUGGCGGAAUGCUUUACACAUGCAAGUCGAACGGCAGCACGGGUGCUUGCACCUGGUGGCGAGUGGCGAACGGGUGAGUAACAUAUCGGAACGUGCCCAGUAAUGGGGGAUAACUAACCGAAAGGUUAGCUAAUACCGCAUACGCCCUGAGGGGGAAAGCGGGGGAUCGUAAGACCUAGCGUUAUUGGAGCGGCCGAUAUCUGAUUAGCUAGUUGGUGGGGUAAAGGCCUACCAAGGCGACGAUCAGUAGCAGGUCUGAGAGGAUGAUCUGCCACACUGGAACUGAGGCACGGUCCAGACUCCUACGGGAGGCAGCAGUGGGGAAUUUUGGACAAUGGGGGAAACCCUGAUCCAGCCAUUCCGCGUGAGUGAAGAAGGCCUUCGGGUUGUAAAGCUCUUUUGGCAGGGAAGAAACGGUUCUGGAUAAUACCCGGAGCUAAUGACGGUACCUGAAGAAGAAGCACCGGCUAACUACGUGCCAGCCGCCGCCGUAA
This 502-nucleotide ribosomal RNA is filed under the name uncultured bacterium. RNAcentral's name for it is "partial 16S ribosomal RNA". It matches the Rfam family "Bacterial small subunit ribosomal RNA", at positions 30 to 523 of the family's 1533-position model. The record is from RNAcentral.